UACGUAGGUGACUAGCGUUGUCCGGAUUUACUGGGCGUAAAGAGCGCGCAGGCGGUCGUUUAAGUCGAGUGUGAAAGCCCCCGGCUCAACUGGGGAGGGUCAUUCGAUACUGAUCGACUCGAAGGCAGGAGAGGGAAGCGGAAUUCCCGGUGUAGUGGUGAAAUGCGUAGAUAUCGGGAGGAACACCAGUGGCGAAGGCGGCUUCCUGGCCUGUUCUUGACGCUGAGGCGCGAAAGCUAGGGGAGCAAACGGG
Molecule: ribosomal RNA, 253 nt
Filed under: uncultured bacterium
Lineage: Bacteria
Description: partial 16S ribosomal RNA
Rfam family: Bacterial small subunit ribosomal RNA
Source: RNAcentral